ACGUAGGUGGCAAGCGUUGUCCGGAUUUAUUGGGUUUAAAGGGUGCGUAGGUUGUUUUGUAAGUCAGUGGUGAAAUCCGGCAGCUUAACUGUCGAUGUGCCAUUGAUACUGCGGAACUUGAGUACAGACGAGGUAGGCGGAAUUGACGGUGUAGCGGUGAAAUGCUUAGAUAUCGUCAAGAACACCGAUAGCGAAGGCAGCUUACUAGACUGAAACUGACACUGAGGCACGAAAGUGUGGGGAUCAAACAGGA
This 253-nucleotide ribosomal RNA is filed under the name uncultured prokaryote. Its description in RNAcentral is "partial 16S ribosomal RNA". It matches the Rfam family "Bacterial small subunit ribosomal RNA", at positions 525 to 777 of the family's 1533-position model. The record is from RNAcentral.